AGAGUUUGAUCCUGGCUCAGGACGAACGCUGGCGGCGUGCCUAAUACAUGCAAGUCGAGCGAAGUUUUUCUGGUGCUUGCACUAGAAAAACUUAGCGGCGAACGGGUGAGUAACACGUAAAGAACCUGCCUCAUAGACGGGGACAACUAUUGGAAACGAUAGCUAAUACCGGAUAACAGCAUUAACUGCAUGGUUGAUGUUUAAAAGUUGGUUUUGCUAACACUAUGAGAUGGCUUUGCGGUGCAUUAGCUAGUUGGUGGGGUAAAGGCCUACCAAGGCGACGAUGCAUAGCCGACCUGAGAGGGUGAUCGGCCACACUGGGACUGAGACACGGCCCAGACUCCUACGGGAGGCAGCAGUAGGGAAUCUUCCGCAAUGGGCGAAAGCCUGACGGAGCAACGCCGCGUGAGUGAAGAAGGAUUUCGGUUCGUAAAGCUCUGUUGUUAGGGAAGAAUGAUUGUGUAGUAACUAUACACAGUAGAGACGGUACCUAACCAGAAAGCCACGGCUAACUACGUGCCAGCAGCCGCGGUAAUACGUAGGUGGCAAGCGUUGUCCGGAAUUAUUGGGCGUAAAGCGCGCGCAGGUGGUUUAAUAAGUCUGAUGUGAAAGCCCACGGCUCAACCGUGGAGGGUCAUUGGAAACUGUUAAACUUGAGUGCAGGAGAGAAAAGUGGAAUUCCUAGUGUAGCGGUGAAAUGCGUAGAGAUUAGGAGGAACACCAGUGGCGAAGGCGGCUUUUUGGCCUGUAACUGACACUGAGGCGCGAAAGCGUGGGGAGCAAACAGGAUUAGAUACCCUGGUAGUCCACGCCGUAAACGAUGAGUGCUAAGUGUUGGUCUCAUAAGAGAUCAGUGCUGCAGCUAACGCAUUAAGCACUCCGCCUGGGGAGUACGACCGCAAGGUUGAAACUCAAAGGAAUUGACG
RNAcentral lists this ribosomal RNA (926 nucleotides) under metagenome. RNAcentral's name for it is "bacterial SSU rRNA". It matches the Rfam family "Bacterial small subunit ribosomal RNA", at positions 8 to 915 of the family's 1533-position model. The record is from RNAcentral.